Long non-coding RNA from Esox lucius (northern pike), 987 nucleotides. RefSeq lists it as uncharacterized. The transcript has 3 exons. NCBI's taxonomy places the organism in Eukaryota, Metazoa, Chordata, Actinopteri, Esociformes, Esocidae. The record is from RefSeq and is a predicted model, not a curated record.
GAGGGGUAGAAGUUUUGCUUUAGUUACAAGAAUGCCAUGCAGCCAGCGUGCUAGACCUGGUGGCUUCCACAUCUCAUAGAUUCAGAUGUACCAGGAUAAGAGGCGUGAAGAACUGGUGCCCACUAACACUUGGUCAACCUGUAGCUGGUCUACAGGCAUUGUUGGAGGUGCGACAGCCUAACCACCAGCCCUUCUGUAUAAGAGCUCUGAUGUUGCAGACUACCCGAGGACAGACAAGGCCCAUUCCAACGGUACUGGGACUGAAAGAUGUCAACAAAACAAUAUAUCCAUUCACAUCCAUCACCAGUAAUUGGGGGGAAACUGGAGAGUAUGCUGGCUUUUAGAGUCAUUUGCUGGUUUGAAUUCCCCAGGUGACAUGGUAAAAUUACUGCCUUUAGCAAGGCACCUAACCCUAAAUAAAUUACUCAAAUGUAAAGAUUUGUGCAGACUGACAGUGGGUGGGACAAUGAAUACAAAAAUUAAAAACGGCCUUGCUGCUUAAAGAAAGUGUAAUAACCAGACAAACUGCACAGUAUCAGUUUGUUUUCUGGUUACUCAUGAGGCCCAUAUUUGAUAUUUUGCCACAACAUGGUUUUAAACCCAUUCUAUCAGUGCCAUAGUAUCUGUAGUGACCAGUCAAGACUCCUGUUUGACAUCCUGUGGAAGAUUUAGUCCUAUUUACUGUUUUUAUUUUUUGGUGAUUCAUAUUUUACUAAUGCAGAGGGAGUUCAGGGCACAAGAGUUUAUCCAGGCAGUGCUCGUAAAAGCAAGGUUGCCUAGCAACAUGGUAUAGAGAAGUGCUGAAUUAGACUGGUCAGAUAGACCCUGAGCCAAGAACACUGACCAUGGGUGUGUCCGGAGAAGAGGGAACUUGGGAGGUUUUUUUCAUGUUUCAUAAAAAAAAGAUUCCUAAACUGUAUUUCGUUUUCAUAUGCUUAUGCCAUGCACUGAUGUCAUACGUUGCUGAACACUGUAACAACUGUUAUA